Molecule: long non-coding RNA, 6896 nt
Filed under: Lactuca sativa (garden lettuce)
Lineage: Eukaryota; Viridiplantae; Streptophyta; Magnoliopsida; Asterales; Asteraceae
Description: long non-coding RNA (LSAT_LNC004621)
Source: RNAcentral
UUUCUAAUAAAACCAUGAGUUUUAUUGAGAAAUCGGGCUCUACAAAAGGUCGGGCUUCGAAACCGAAAAGAUAAAUUUUCCGGGCUUCACGGGCACUUCGUGGCGUAUUCUGGGGCUUAUAAUCGAUGUCGGGGGUUCGGGGGGUGAUAAUAUGAAAGAAGUAUGGAGAAAGGGGCUAAAAAUGACAAGUUUUCAAAAUACCACCGGGAGGUCUCGCACCCUUCUAUUUAUAAGGAAGAGCUUCUGAUCGGACGGCUGAGAAGGAACCACGUCUCGCAGAUUCGAGGGUUCGCAGGCGAAGGCUCGCACGAGGGCUGCGCGUGCGAAGGGCUGCUGACAGUUUGUGAUUGGUCCGAGGCGUGUGUCCGAUGCGCAGGUGGUCAGCAUGUGCGAGGGUCUCGGUGGCACUCGCUGAUUGGACUGCGGAGUCGUCUUACAUGUGCGAGGCUUGGAGCUAGGUGCGAGCUUCGGAUUGGUCAGCAUCCUUGGUUUGGACAGAUGCUCGGUUCGGAUUGGGUCUCCUUCUUGGUCGAAUCAGAAGCCUACACGCGAGUCGGAUCACGUGGGUUGCAUGUGAGGAUCACGUGGCUACUGUUCAUGCGAGGAUGACUCAGCAAACUUCGGUGACUCAACAGGACACGUGGCAUUUAUUCAGCAAGGAUGACGUGGCAACUCGUGACUAUGCGAAUUUUCUCGAUUUUCGCACCAAAACUUCUAAAAUCCAUAACUUUCGCAUACAAGCUCCGAUUUUGACUUUCUUUAUAUGCACGCGUAGCUAAAGUUGCGCUUUACAACUUCCGUUUAGACUUUGUUGGCUAAUUUUGAAUUUAAAUUUUAUAUUAUUAUUUUUAACAGACCGGGACAGGAAAUCCGUUAAAAAUUCAUAAUUUCUUCAUCCGACGUCCGUUUUCGUCAGACUUUUUACCGUUGUGCUCCUAAUGACGAGACCUUCAAUUCUCGUUUAGGUUGUGUCGGCUAAAAAUCGCUCGAUCUAAAAUUCGAGUUUUUAGCUGUCUACUGCUAAGCUGAAACUUCGAAAAAUCAUAACUUCCUCAUACGAAGUCAGAUUUGGGCGUUCUUUUUAUCGAACUUCUCGGUUUAACGAAUACUACGACUUUCGUUUAGAUUGCUAAGGCUAAAAAGUAGCUUAUCAAAAACUCAUUUUUUACGACACUCGGCACCGUGUCGGUUUUGUCGCGAAACUUCGACAGGUCAUAACUUCUUCGUUAUAACUCGGAUUUCGACAUUGUUUAUAUCCCCGAAAUCCUUGUUUCGACCAUUAAAACUUUAUGUAAAGACAUCGGACUUAUAUCACACUUUAAUUUUGACGGUUAUUUUUAUUUUUAAUUAAUUAAACCCUAAUAAUUAAGCAUAAAACACAUAAUUCACAUAAAAUUCAUAUAAUUCCUUUUCAUUUCUUCUAAAUGAGUUACAAAGGUUAACCUAGACCAUUAUGUCAAUAUUAAUGCCUAGCCUAGAAACACGGGCGUUACAACUCUCUCCCCCUUAGGAUGAUUCCGUCCCCGGAAUCACACAACGACAAACAACUACGGGUAGCGACUCACUAUGUCGCUCUCCGUUUCCCAGGUGGGAUCUGGCCCAUUUAUAAGUUUCCAACGUACAGGCACUAAAUCGACUAUCUUACGUUACAACUUCUUAUUCUUACGGUUAACGAUUACCUCAGGUUCUCCAAUUAACCUCUUGUUCUCGUCCAACCUUAAUUCAGAAAUGGGAAUUAUGUCGGGCACACCUCCCGUGAACUUUUUCAAAUAACACACAUGAAAGGUGUUAUGAAUACUCUCUAGUUCUUCCGGUAAUUCUAGCUUGUAAGCUUGAUUCCGAAUUCUCUGAAGAACUUUAAAUGGUCCAAUAAACUUUGGACUCAACUUUCCCCUUCUACCAAAUCUUAUAAGUCCCUUCCACGACGAGACUUUAAGUGAAACCGAAUCUCCAACUUCGAAUGAUAUCGGUUGUCUUUUCUUGUCAGCAUAGCUCUUUUGAGCAGCUAACAUCUUUUUCCCUAAUCACUUACAACUUUUCAGCAAUCUAAUGGACUAUUUCAAGUCCCAUAAACUGCUUUUCCUCAGCUUCCAGCCAACAUGAUGGCAUCCGACACUUUUUCCCAUGCAAAGCGUGAUAAGGUACCAUCUUGACACUUGAGUGGAAACUAUUAUUAUAGGUGAAUUCUACUAAAGGUAAGUGUUCAUCCAAGUUACCUUGAAAUUCUAGGGUACAUGUUCUCAGCAUAUCCUCCAACGUUUGAAUCGUCCAUUCGCUCUGACCAUCGGUUUGCAGAUGGUAAGCUGUAUUCAAACACAACUUGGUACCCAAUUCCUCUUAUAGACUCCUCCAAAAACCUUGAGGUAAAACGGCUUUCACGAUCGGAUACAAUCGUUAACGAAACACCGUGAAGCCUCACACUUUCCUUCACAUAAGAAUUCACAAGUUUAUCCAUAGACCAUUUCUCGUUGGCUGCUAUGAAAUGCGCACUCUUAGUGAAGCGAUCAAUGAUCACCCAAAUCAUGUCGUGACCAUUCCUUGUUCUGGGCAGUUUAGUCACAGAAUCCAUAGUGAUAUCUUCCCAUUUACCCGUGGGUACAGGUAAAGGUUCUAAACUCCCAUACAUUUUCUGAUGUUGUGCCUUAACCCUGGCACAAGUUACACACUUAGCCACAUACUUUAGCAACUUCGAGCUUCAUCGUCGGCUACCAGUAAUAGGGUUUUAGAUCCCUAUACAUUUUUGUACUGCUGGGAUGAAUCGAGUACAUGGUCUUGUGAGCUUCUUCCAUCAGAAGACCUCUUGUUCCUCCCAUCCUAGGUACCCAAAUCCUAUCUUUGAAUACCUCCAGUCCUUGAUUGUUUGUAUCAAACACCAACGUUUUACUCAAACGUUCCUCCUUUCGGUCAUUUUUUUCUCUAUAGCUUCCUCUUGAGCUUUCUUUAUACUUUUCACAAUUGUCAAGACAACUUUAAUUCUUAACGCUCUUGGCCCUUUUCUUUUCAAGAGUUACCUUCCGACUGAGAGUAUCAACAACAACAUUUGCUUUACCGGGGUGGUAAAGUGUCUCGCAGUCGUAAUCCUUGAGUAACUCUAGCCAGCGUCGUUGCCUCAUGUUUAAUUCCUUCUGAUUAAAGAGAUAUUGAAGACUCUUAUGAUCAGUGAAAAGUUUACACUUUGUGCCAUAAGGAUAAUGCCUCCAUAUCUUUAGGGUGAAUACUACCGUUGCCAACUCCACAUCGUAAGUGGGGUAGUUCUUUUCAUGCUCUUUCAAUUGCCUCGAUGCAUACGCUAUCACCUUAUCCCUUUGGGUCAGAACACAUCCUAACCCAACUCCAGAGGCAUCACUAUAAACUGUGAAGUCAUCAACUCCUUUAGGUAACGAAAGAAUCGGUGCUUCACACAACUUCUUCUUUGACUUCUCAAAGCUUCAUAUGCUUCUCAUUCCAAGUAUAGACAGCUCCUUUGUGGGUCAAAGCUGUCAAUGGAGUCGCGAUCGAAGAAAAGCCUUGGAUAAUUCAGUAAUAAUAUCCAGCUAAUCCUAAAAAGCUUCAGAUCUCCAUAGGACUUUCAAUUGUAACCUUCGAGUUACAAAAUAAAUCCUUAUUGAGGACUCCUUCUUCUUCUUGGAAUAAGUACUUUCCUUCAUUUAUUGUAACAGACCGAUGGGUCAUGUUCUAAUGAUCUCUCAUUGUAUACUGCACUACUUAGACUCAGAUCUCCUAGGGACAAAUUUCAGAACAAAUUAUACCUUCCUUCAUGUUCUAAUGUGAUACAAUCACCGUUCAACAUGUAUCAUUUCUAACUACCAACUUCUUUAACAAUGAGUGCGAUACUUCUAUUGAUCGCUUUGAUCAUCUUUCAUUUCAAUCUUCUGGCUUAAGUCAAAUGUUACAUCGAACUUGGUUCUCUGAACCACAUAAUAAACUCAUCGUAGUCGGACUCAAUUUGAUAUGACCUCUAAGGUCGGAAUAACAAUCAUCUUCUUAGUCAUUACCGAAACGAUGGUAACGACAGACUAGAACAAGACGGAAUCAAAUAAUAGCUUCUUGGUAACCUUGUGACUUUCCCUGAUCCAAGUGCGAGUCCUGUGCUUCCAGUAGUAUAGAUCUCUACUACUAUUCACACCUACUCAUACUCGUCCCAAGUACUGUCUCGCAGUCCCCAAGUCCUAAAAUCACAAAACAAUUUAACACAUACAAAUGUGUCCAAUUAAUCAUAAAAUUUUCCUAGACUCUACUAGGACUUCUUUCACGCGUAUCUUCAAUGAUCAACUCUACUUCAACUUGGUUGGUGAUGGAAAUUUCAGAUGAUUGGGACAACUUCAAAAAUUACACCAGCCAUUCUAUUCAUCAGACGACAAAACCAGGGUUUAUUUUAUUUCCUUGAAACGAUUACACAAAGGUUCAAGUUUACCCUAUACUAUGCCUCUCAUAGGCUAAACUACUUGUUACUAUUCACAUUACUACUUCGUAACUUGAUCUUCGGGUAUCAAGUCUUGACUUCUACUUCCUAGUGUUAUUAAUCGCUUCUUCAAGGAUAUCCUGAAAUUCCUUUGGCAUUGAUGGUGCACUUGGCCUUGUUACUUCAUUGUUCUUCUGACAAUUCUUAGAAAUAUGGCCUUCUUCUUUACAUCCGUAGCACACCUCCUUGGGAAUCGUACACUUAUUGGCGUAAUGCCCUAUUUCUCCACACUUAAAGCACUUCACCUUCCCGUCACAAUUCCCAGAGUGUUUAUUUUUGCACUUCCCGCACCAUUUUCCUUUAUCUCUUCUUUUGCCAAACUUUGAGGAUAUGUUGCUCUUGUUGGGCCUUGAAGACCCCUCAAAUUUCCUCUUCUUGCCAACUUCAACUUUGUUGGCGGUUGUGUCAUUGAUCAUUUCCUCAAUAGACUUAGCAACCCUAAUAGUUGCCUCAAGAACAGAUGUCUGACCUAUUGGCACAAUAAGUUCAUCCUUACUUUGUUGAAGUAAACGUUUUGUUUCUUCCAUCUGUUCACCUAACAUCGUACGUACCAUUGCCUGCACUCCAGUCAUCGUGAUUGGCUCAGGCUGUGGAUUAUCACUUCCGAACCCACUUUGAGUACUCGGCAUUUCGAUCUAUAUACCAAUCGUAGGUGAACUUAGAUCUUCAUUUUUGUUAGAUGUUAAGUCUUCGAAACGUUUAUAUGUUAGUUCCAAUAUCGUAGUCAUACGUUUAGAAUCCUACACACAUAAGGUUUCCAGAUCCGGUCGGCAACAGACCAUAGAUCCGAACAAAUAAUGGCACACAUGGCAAACACAUAACAUUUAGCACAUAAGGGCAUUUUAGGCAUCUUCCCUAAAAUAAACUAGUGCUCGUGUCUAAAAUAUGGUAGACACUCAUCUCACAAUCAUCACUUAGCAUUCUAAGUUCAAGUCUAGAAAUUCUACAAUUUCUUAGUUCGCUUAAACUAAUGCUCUGAUACCAACUGUGACAUCCCCAAAUUUCUCGGCCAGAAAAGACCGAUUUAAUUUAUGCUUUUUAAAAAUCAAAUCAGAGAAAUCUUUAUAAAAGAUGUUGCGGAAUUGGUCCCCAAAACAAAAUAUGAUAAAAGUUUGUCAAAACCUUUCUUUAAGAAAUAUAUCAUUUCCUUUUAUAUCAAAACCUCGGGAUGUCAUGUUCCGAUACAGAUCAAAAGCAUAAACAAGACAUUAUAAGCCUUACGACAGUUAAUUGUAACUACUGACCUAUAAUCCAAAAUUCACUCAUCAUCAUCAUCCGACUAUGCUCGGGGUCCUCUACCCGUAAUAUAAACAGCUGAGUGGGUCAAGCUUAGAAGCCUGGUGAGCAUAUAGGGUUUUCAACCCAUAAUACAUAAAUUUAUUAUGUUUAAACAUCAAUCAAUCAACCUAAUUACCCCAAACCCCAUUAUUUUAUUUAUUUCUUAAGGGUUUACCCAAAGAAUCAACUAUCACUCCUUCCUAAGGAUUCAUCCUAAGGAAUAGACACAAAGUCACCUCAUGACCGGGGUUUAUACAACGGGCACUAAUUCCAUAGCUGCCAAAGUUUAUUCAACAUGUGCUAAGUCCAUAGCUCUCAUUUAUCGACAGUAUUAUUUACAGGUGUUCUCUCCUGCAAUACAUGUCAAUGGGUUUUAGAGUACAACAAAUGAACAUAUAGUUCAUUACACCUACAGGUUGCGGGCCUGCUAGUGUUCCAUAGACUGUCUAGAAUAGUCCAUGGUUGUCAUCCAUACUCUGCUGAAUGACGGGGGCCAACAAUUUGGGUAAGUNAACACACAUCAACUAUUUCAUCUACCCAUGUUCUACCCAACAUAUUUUGUAGAUAAAAAGCAUAUACAGUUUAAAACUUGUAUAAAACAUCAAUUCAACAGUCACCUCAAUUAAACAAUUAAUAUAUUUACACAUAACACGUAUUUCAAGGUAAAUACUUCAUAUCUAUGUGUAAAUUGAAAGUAACUACACACUCACAUGAUUUAAUGAAAACCGGGCAGCAAUUCGUUUCCUAAAACGAUCGUUUCUAAUAAAACCAUGAGUUUUAUUGAGAAAUCGGGCUCUACAAAAGGUCGGGCUUCGAAACCGAAAAGAUAAAUUUUCCGGGCUUCACGGGCACUUCGUGGCGUAUUCUGGGGCUUAUAAUCGAUGUCGGGGGUUCGGGGGGUGAUAAUAUGAAAGAAGUAUGGAGAAAGGGGCUAAAAAUGACAAGUUUUCAAAAUACCACCGGGAGGUCUCGCACCCUUCUAUUUAUAAGGAAGAGCUUCUGAUCGGACGGCUGAGAAGGAACCACGUCUCGCAGAUUCGAGGGUUCGCAGGCGAAGGCUCGCACGAGGGCUGCGCGUGCGAAGGGCUGCUGGCAGUUUGUGAUUGGUCCGAGGCGUGUGUCCGAUGCGCAGGUGGUCAGCAUGUGCGAGGGUCUC